CAUAAGAAAAGAAGAGAGAUGAGAUAUAUGAGUCAUUAAAAAGAAAGAGAAUGUAGAUCAUAAUUAUUCUUUUUAUCUUUUAAUAUGGUCCUUCUAGGAUAUAAAAAAUAAAUUUAUAUGAGAUUUAAAUAUAAGAAGUGAAUAGAUGGGGUCGGAUAGGAUAUUAAAAGAUAAAUAAAUAAGUAAUUAAUAAAUAAAUAAAAAAAGAAAGAGAAGAAGAGCGGUCAAAAU
RNAcentral lists this long non-coding RNA (231 nucleotides) under Elaeis guineensis (African oil palm). RNAcentral's name for it is "long non-coding RNA (EGUI_LNC048058)". The record is from RNAcentral. Lineage: Eukaryota; Viridiplantae; Streptophyta; Magnoliopsida; Arecales; Arecaceae.